GGGCCAGACUCCUACGGGAGGCAGCAGUGAGGAAUAUUGGUCAAUGGCCGUAAGGCUGAACCAGCCAAGUCGCGUGAAGGAAGAAGGAUCUAUGGUUUGUAAACUUCUUUUAUAGGGGAAUAAAGGUAUCCACGUGUGGAUAUUUGCAUGUACCCUAUGAAUAAGCAUCGGCUAACUCCGUGCCAGCAGCCGCGGUAAUACGGAGGAUGCGAGCGUUAUCCGGAUUUAUUGGGUUUAAAGGGUGCGUAGGCGGCAUUAUAAGUUAGUGGUAAAAUAUUGGGGCUUCACCUCACUACGCCAUUAAUACUGUAGAGCUAGAGAACAGACGAGGUAGGCGGAAUAAGUUAAGUAGCGGUGAAAUGCAUAGAUAUAACUUAGAACACCGAUAGCGAAGGCAGCUUACCAGACUGAGUCUGACGCUGAUGCACGAGAGCAUGGGUAGCGAACAGGAUUAGAUACCCCUAACA
This 467-nucleotide ribosomal RNA is filed under the name uncultured bacterium. Its description in RNAcentral is "bacterial SSU rRNA". It matches the Rfam family "Bacterial small subunit ribosomal RNA", at positions 328 to 792 of the family's 1533-position model. The record is from RNAcentral.